CUCCACUUUCUACCUCUUUUCCACAGGCCUGUUUCCCCUCAGACCACUUGGGAGUGUGAUGGGCUUUCCUGCUGGCCCCUGGCUGCCAGGCACCCUGACCCCUGCCCUAGCCCCACCUUGCUGUCAGGCCUUCUCAGCCCGGCUGACCUUUGUGCUCUAGACUGUUUCCUCACUCCGUACUCCCGCUAAACCCUAACCAGUUUCAGAUCUUGGUCCUUUAGGGCUCUGUCUUCUGUUUCCCAAGAGCUUCGUUGAUUACCUCGAAAGGCGGGGGCUGGGACGGGGCACCGCAAUUCAAGGCACAACAGAAAUCGGGAGUGGAGCAUUUCUUCGGACCAUGCGCAUAACUUUGUGUUAAGUGUUGGCACUACAACGAAUUUCACCGAACUCUGCGGACCGCCCUAACAACCCAGCACAUCGACUACUCCCUGAGCGCAGACGGUGCGCGCUUCCUUGGUGGGCAUGGCGCUUCUGCCACCGCAGCCUGCAGACGUAGCCAGGAACCUCCCACCUACAGGCACUAUUAAUCACAGUGGAAACGAACAGGAAUCAACGCAUAAUGGAUAAGAUUAGCCGUCCGCGGAAGCACAGCACUUCAAACCGAGUGGUAAACACCGGCCAGCAGCUCUGCCAGAUAUAAUCAGAGACAAGAGCACUUCUGCCACCAAUCCAGAGACGAGAGUGCCCUGGAGUGUGGGCCUGGUGCAUCCUUAGGACCGGAACCUUUUUCGAAAGUGACCUUUUUAAUCAUGUUGUAACUGAGUGCCUGAUAGAAGGAUGGUGCUCUGUAUGGAUUCUAGAAUCUAGGGGAAGGAGCCAAAGAGUAAAUAUUUGUGGGUGUUUAUCCUGUGCUGCAAAUACUGUUUGAUAGGUCACUGGAUAACAUAAAAGCCAGCAUUUACAGAACACUUACUAUCUGUGCCAGGCCAGGGGUCUCCUUGAAGUCCAUGUGGAUGCAGAAUCCUACGGUCCCCCCAUUCAUCCAUCCCCCCUUUCUCCUGUCCUUCCACAAUCAAAUAGGGAAGAAAAGAUCAUAAACAGAGAGCACAGCAUUUGUGGCAUUUUAGUUUAAGGAUGUGGGCAGUGGUACAAAAGGCAGGUUCUGCCGGUGUAGCCCCUUGGUCCCAUCAGAGUUGGGGGAAUUGCUACUUGACAUGAGGCUCUUAUUAUUGCGGAACAACUCUUCUGAAACUGCUCAAAGUUCAUCUUUUUUCCAGCUUUAUUAAGGUAUGAUUGAUAAAUAAAAAUUGUAUUCAUUUACGUUGUAUAACAUGACUUUUUUUUUUAAGACAUACGGUGUUAUUUGAUAUAUGUGUCCAUUGUGAAAUGAUACCAAAAUCAACUUAAUUAACACAUGCAUCACCUCACAUAGUUACCUUUUUUUUUUUUCCAAGUUCAGUUUUAAAAUCCACGGUCACCUGCUCCCUAUUUCGUGCACCUGAAUCUCUUGCCGGUUCCAACUGCUUCCUCCCUACCCUUUUGCUCAGGCUGCUUCCCCAGCUGGAAGGCACAGGUCCUAUACUUCGGCCAACUGCUACAAACCUCUCAAGAUCCAACUCGGGUACCACUUCCUCCGGGAAGCAUUUCCCGACCCCAUCCUUUGCCCGUCUCCCUUUACCACAGCAUGGCUCGUUCUCUAACACGCGGAGCUGGUCACUGGUCUGUGGACACGCACUGGCUCUUCCACCUCCGCUUCCCUGCAGAGGGGACCCCGGACACGGAGAUGAACUGGAGAGACAGCCCCCUGACUGCUCGUCCUCCUUAAAUCUAUCCGCACACCGCAGCAGCAUCUGAACUACUGCCCGAGCGAACGAGCUUCUUACAAACCGGUCGGACCACAUCCCUGCCCUCCUUCACGGCUCCCUGGCCCCCGGACCCUGGGACAUUGCAGCCCCCGCCGUCCCCCAGCGCUGCGCGGGCCUUCCCCGCGGCCCCACGUCCUCCCGGGCGCCCUGUGCGUGUGCUCCCCUGACCUUCUCACCGCUUUCGCGAGUCUGGGCCUCUGCGUUUGGGGUCGUCCCUAUUUCUCCCUUCCUCGCGCCCCUCGAACUCCUCCCCAGCUCGCACACCGCUGCCCCGCGGAGCUCUCCCCAGCGCCCCCGCAGACCCAGCCGCCCUAUCCUGCUGCCGCGCUCCGCGCCUCCAUCACCGCUCCAUCCCCACUGUUCCGCGGGAAGCCCUCGGGGCGGGGCCGCGCCUCAGACCCCUCCGUGUCCCGACGGCCGUACAGCGGUCGGCAAGAGGAACGCCUCUGCCAGGCAUGUAGAGGGCAGCGGGGCAGGACUGCUGCAGAGGUGAAGGGAGCACGAGGGACAGACAGGAGCGCAGAGAGAGGGGCAAGCACCGCGUCCUGGCUGAGAGGAUAACGCAAACGCUGAAUACCUACAUUACACCAGCCGAGGGUCAGCCCCAUGUCCCGCUGAUUUUCGCAUGCAACAACCCUGUGUCAAGCUGAUCUCGUGGUGUUCGCUGAGAGGGGUGAGGAGAGGGUCGGAUGACGCCAGCAGCUGGAAGGGAGGGGGAGGAGGGGCACACAGUUACUGCCCUCCUGGUCCUGCUCUGCUGGGCAGCUAUCACCAAGCAGGAGCCCUGUCCCACUCUGGCAGGACACAUGAGUGUCCCCUUCCUCUCCAACCCCUUGUAGGAGGCAUCAUGGUAUAAUGGGAGAAGCAGGGGCCUCAGAGCCAUAGAGACCUGGGUUCAAAACCCAGCUCAGCUGUUGCUAGCUGUGUGAUUGCAUGCAAGUUACUUAACCCCUCUGAUCUUCAGACUACUCUCCUGAAAAAUAGGAAUUUUAAAAAACCAAAACUUACUCCACAGGAUUAUUCAUUCCUAGAACAAAUUUUUUUUGAGUCCUCAUUUGUAUUAUUUCUGAUCUAGUCAAUGGGAAUAUAGUAGCUUCAUAUAUAAUAAGUACUUAAAUAUUAGCUUCUUUCUUUUCUGCUAUUCAUUCCCUAAUCGAAAGCACAGAAUCCUUAGAGAAAUCCCCUCCUUUUUUCCUCUUCUCUAGUGCACAUUGUUUUGUCCUCCAAGUAAAGAUCACCUAAUAACAAGAGUAACACCUAACACCAGGUACUUACUACCUGCUAGGCACUAUUUGCAGUACUUACAUACUUUACUAAUUUAAUGCUCACAACAACACAAAGAGAUUGAUUUUACAAAUAAGGAAAAGGAAGCACAGAGAAGCUAAGGGAUUUGUCAUGGUCACACAGCCAGUAAAUUAUGGAGCUGGGAUUUGCACCAGGGCUCCUGGGUUCGAGUCCACAGCCUGAGCCAAUACGUUAGAGAUCAUAUAGUUCAGGCCCUCUGCGUGAUAGCGUGUCUUCACAGCUGUCUCUCUUCCCCCAUCCCUCCUUGUCUUUUCUCUUCUCCUCUCUUCUGUUCUUUUCCUCUCAGCUGAAGAAACUGAAGGCUACUUUGGACAGGGUUAGGUGACAGGCUCAAAGUUACACAACUCCUGUGGCCUUUAUCCUCCAUUCCCGGGCCCUUCCUCUGACACUGUGCAACAGUAGACAAUCAGUGUGAAGGCAAACAGCUGAAAUUAAUUACAAUUUUGAGUAAAUAAUUUAUAUAACUUUAUACUCCCCGUUGUGACAACCAUUUGAAGGUAUCAGAUGUAAUGGUAAAAAGAUUCCCAUUAGAUACCAUUAUGCUUCUUUUAGUUUAAUUAAUCCCAAUCUGAAAUGCACUCUUUGUUUUUGCUAGCCUUGUUUGAAUUUCUGCCCCCACAAAUAUUUGUGCUGUUGUUUUAGUUUCAAUUAGCUUCUGGUGUUUUCCUUGGACUGGUUUUUGUGAUGGAAUGGGGGUGGAGUGUUUACAGUCUGACCUGUCAUCUGUGAAGCUUUGCCUCCCCAAACCACCACAGCCCCAGCUCAGAGACGACAACGAAGUACAGUCAAAACAAGCCCAGGGCGCUGGGGAGCCCGGGAGCACUGGCCCCGCUGCAGACUCACUCUGAAGCCCAAGCCACCCGGAGGCAGUCGUCACACGGAGGAGCAUUGCACACAAGGCCUCCACGGAAUUUCCAGAACUUUGCCCUUGAACUGACAUGAGGUCACCAGAAUCUAGAACCUAAUUCCAGGAAGAAUACUUUCUGGUAUCAAGGAGGUACUCAACCCAGAAGAGAUAAGAAAGUCAAUAGGUGCCAUUGACAAAUUGGGGCAUAAGUUUACAGAGGGUGGUGUAGGUGAUAAACGAGACACUGGAGGCAGAACACUAUUUGCAGACAGAAGAAUUUCCCAGCUCACCUGUAUGAGUCAAUGAACUCCUCUGAGUUUUGAUUUCCUCAUCUGUAGAAAAAGGAGAUACUAAUACUUGGCUUGCUGACCACCCAGGGAUCAAAUGAGGAAAUUAGGCACAUGAGAUCAAUCUGAAAACUGCAAAGUACUCUAGAAAUACGAUGAAUUAUAUUACUGCUAUUCCAUAACUCGUAUAUAAAGAAAGUGGAGUUUCACUGGAAUAACAUAUAUAACAGUGAUUUCCACUGAAAUGCACCAGAAAGAAUGAUGCAACUCAUUGUGAGACUUUUAUUGCAUUUUUAAACCUGGGAGAGACAGCUUUGCACACAUAACAAAACACAGCAAGAAAGCGUCAGACAGGGACUGUGCGCCUGCACCAGCCUGAGUGUUCCAGACACACUGGGAAGGAUGAGGCAGGUGAGACGUGCAGCCUGGAAGAGUCAACUCCUCUGUGUGCACAAGGGGGCAGGCACAGCCACUGGGCUGCCGCCCCAGGGUAAGGGGUACUCAAGCCCCAGGCAGAUGUUAGAGACUGCUGUGGACUAAAUUGCGUCCCCCAAAAGCAUGUGUUGAGGCCGUAACCCCCAAUGUGACAAUGUUUAGAAAUAGGGCUUUUAGGAGGUAAAGUGAAAUGAGGGCGUAGGGACAGGGCCCUGAUCCAAUGGGAUUGGUGGCAUUAUACAAAGAAGAAGAGCUCGUCCUGGCCUUCUCCCUCUCUCCCCUCUCUACCUCCCCCUCAGAGGGAAGGCCACGUGAGGACAAAGUAGCCAUCUGCAAGCCAGGAAGAUGGCUCCCACCAUAAGCCAAUCCUGCUGGAACCCAGAUCUUGGACUUUCCAGCCUUCAGAACUGUGAGAAAAUUAAUUUCCGUUGUUUAUGCCACCAGUCUGUGGUAUUUUGUUAUGACAGCCAAGAAGACUGAGACAUGGACAACGUACUCAUUUUUGUUUUACAGCUCAGUUUCAUUCCCACAGUGCAGAGGCUAAAAGCUCACGUGUUGGAUUUUCACCACCAGAGAUCAUAUCCUGCCUCUCACAUUUCUUGGCUAUGGAAAUCUGAGAAACUUAAAAAAUCUCCAACUCCCAGUUUUCUCAUCUAUAAAAUGGGAAUAAUAAUAGUAAUAACAGCAUCUACCUUGGGCUUGCUGUAAAGAAAUGCAGCAGCCAGCAUAGUGCUGGCACUUAGUAAGUGCCCAGUUAAUGUUAACUGUCACCAUCAAUCCUAGAAAAAGUCCGGUAUUAAGCACAAAAUACUCUGCAACCAAGUUAAAGCUAGAUCUCCCAUUGCUGAGUCAACCCCGCACUCUCCACCCGCCAAUUAGCUGUCUAUUGAUCUGUAAAGCCAGUUGACUGAGU
RNAcentral lists this long non-coding RNA (5592 nucleotides) under Equus caballus (horse). RNAcentral describes it as "lncRNA (ENSECAG00000060341.1)". Lineage: Eukaryota; Metazoa; Chordata; Mammalia; Perissodactyla; Equidae. The record is from RNAcentral.